Gossypium hirsutum (cotton) is the source of this 107-nucleotide non-coding RNA. The record is from Rfam. Lineage: Eukaryota; Viridiplantae; Streptophyta; Magnoliopsida; Malvales; Malvaceae.
CUAGUGUGGUGUGGGCAUUUCCUAAGUAACGACUUGAAGCAUUCCCAAGCUUCGGAUAAACUUUCACCUUUGAAUUGCUUAAAAUUAGCAAUAUCACGCCUAAAUUG